UAUAUUUAAAUUUAAAUAUAGUUGCACUUCCGGCAGAUAGAGGCAGCACCUACUGGGGCCUCGUGGCCUUUGAAUUCAAACUUGACUUGCGCAGUGCGGCGCAUGCGCAUUGUUUUUCCUGCCUUUUGUCGAGAAGACCGACGCCAUUAUCUUUUUCGCAAAUACAUAUUCUGGUGAAAACACGUGUUUUUCUAAAUCGUAUCAUUUUGUGCUCAUCUCGAGUUAUUAAUUAAAAAUAUUGAUAAAAGUCAAUUACGCACUCAUCAAGCUCCAUAAAAAUAUAAUUAUUUUCGUACUUGUGGGCACCAGAGCUCAAAAAUAAAAUAAACCAAGUUCAAGGACUCAAGUGAUCAACACCACGUUUUUUUCAAGAGGUUAAUUCGACGGAAAUCCUUACAGUUAUUAACUAAUAGAAAAAAAAGUUGCUUGAACCAAGAGAAAAAUUUCUCAGGAGAAAAGAUAUACAUGGAGGAGAGGAAAUUCACCAGUCUUCGGCAACAGCAGUGGGAGUAGUCCGGUGCUCGCCACUAGAUAGCGCCUACAACUUGUGUAGUGUCCCUGGUGGAAAACGAUACUGUCUGACAGAUAUAUGAACUUCGUCUACAGUCGGGAUAGAAUGUGUCAUCAUUGUUGCAGCUGGGAAAUCGUCUCCAGGGAGAUGAAAAACAAGCGGAAAUCCUCUCAUAUGUUCAUGUUCAUGCUCUCUUUCUAGAUCGUUUAAAUGAUCAAGUUGGAGACUAGAACAUAUUCGCUCAAGUCUAUCUUGAGCAGUUUCUGGGACGUCACUUUCUCCAGAGUUGUUACGUCCUCGUCACCCUUCAACCCUUUAUCUGAAGAUCUAGAGGUAAUUAAAUCAGAGCUUCAUAAGACGACGUUGGGUUGCAUCCUACCACAAGCAUGAAUGUAAAUUGUCAUCCAAGGUCAACAUCCAGGCACCACCGGAGUCUUAAUGAAGUUUUCUUUAAUUAUAUUUCUUAUUUUAUUAUUAUAUAUGGAUCAGGCGCAUAAGGCCAUGACAAAUAUUAACAAUAUUCUUAACUAUUUUAUUAAUUUUCAUUUAUAUUAUUUUCUUUAUUAAACGCGCAUGUACGCAUUUCGUAUAUAUGCAUGUAUAUAUUUGUGUGAAUCUGAGCUUGAGCGUAUAUGUCAUAUCCGUGGAUAUGGGUAUGUUCUCAUGGCCGUUCACACAUAUAUGUAUAUGUGUGUGUAUAAUGCGCUUAUAUAUUGUGCAUUUAUAUAUUAUACAUUUGUACGCAUACAUUCAGAUACAAAUACGUAGCAUAAGCUAUUAUAACAUGAUAGUUGUCGUAGUGAUAGAAUGAGAUAAGGCAAGAAGAAGCUCUUCAGGGUUUAUUCUCGCCUAAUACUCUGUGAUGAGAACCAACGUCUGAGAGGGUCAAUUUUACCCUUAAGAAUUUUCUUUCUAUGUUUAUAAUCAAGGAAUGAUUUCAUGUUUAGCACCCUGAACAGUUUUUUUAUAAAAAAAACUGAAAAUUUUAUAAAAUUAUUGUAUCACGUGUGCUAUCCAUCGAACUUAUUCCUUGGCUUUAUACUAAUAAAUUUAAACAAUAUUUACUGCUGAUGAGAUUAAAUAAAAUAACUUUAUAAUAAAAUUUUAAUGAGUCGAAUGAAAUUAAAUAUUUUAGAUAAAUAAUAAUUCUUAGAAGAAUAAAAGCAUCGAAAUAACCAAAAAUUGCAGUCUAAACAAAAGGCUGAGACUUCAUCUUGGCGUUGAU
Microplitis demolitor is the source of this 1736-nucleotide long non-coding RNA. RefSeq lists it as uncharacterized. The record is from RefSeq and is a predicted model, not a curated record. The transcript is spliced from 3 exons. NCBI's taxonomy places the organism in Eukaryota, Metazoa, Arthropoda, Insecta, Hymenoptera, Braconidae.